GACGAACGCUGGCGGCGUGCCUAAUACAUGCAAGUCGAACGCAUUUUCUUUCACCGUAGCUUGCUACACCGAAAGAAAAUGAGUGGCGAACGGGUCAGUAACACGUGGGUAACCUGCCCAUCAGCGGGGGAUAACACUUGGAAACAGGUGCUAAUACCGCAUAAUUCCAUUUACUGCAUGGUAGAUGGAUGAAAGGCGCUUUUGCGUCACUGAUGGAUGGACCCGCGGUGCAUUAGCUAGUUGGUGGGGUAACGGCCUACCAAGGCUGCGAUGCAUAGCCGACCUGAGAGGGUGAUCGGCCACACUGGGACUGAGACACGGCCCAGACUCCUACGGGAGGCAGCAGUAGGGAAUCUUCGGCAAUGGACGCAAGUCUGACCGAGCAACGCCGCGUGAGUGAAGAAGGUUUUCGGAUCGUAAAACUCUGUUGUUAGAAAAGAACAAGGAUGAGAGUGGAAAGUUCAUCCCUUGACGGUAGCUAACCAGAAAGCCACGGCUAACUACGUG
RNAcentral lists this ribosomal RNA (507 nucleotides) under uncultured bacterium. RNAcentral describes it as "partial 16S ribosomal RNA". It matches the Rfam family "Bacterial small subunit ribosomal RNA", at positions 28 to 507 of the family's 1533-position model. The record is from RNAcentral.